RNAcentral lists this ribosomal RNA (435 nucleotides) under Bacillus licheniformis. RNAcentral describes it as "bacterial SSU rRNA". It matches the Rfam family "Bacterial small subunit ribosomal RNA", at positions 1014 to 1450 of the family's 1533-position model. Lineage: Bacteria; Bacillati; Bacillota; Bacilli; Caryophanales; Bacillaceae. The record is from RNAcentral.
CCCCUUCGGGGGCAGAGUGACAGGUGGUGCAUGGUUGUCGUCAGCUCGUGUCGUGAGAUGUUGGGUUAAGUCCCGCAACGAGCGCAACCCUUGAUCUUAGUUGCCAGCAUUCAGUUGGGCACUCUAAGGUGACUGCCGGUGACAAACCGGAGGAAGGUGGGGAUGACGUCAAAUCAUCAUGCCCCUUAUGACCUGGGCUACACACGUGCUACAAUGGGCAGAACAAAGGGCAGCGAAGCCGCGAGGCUAAGCCAAUCCCACAAAUCUGUUCUCAGUUCGGAUCGCAGUCUGCAACUCGACUGCGUGAAGCUGGAAUCGCUAGUAAUCGCGGAUCAGCAUGCCGCGGUGAAUACGUUCCCGGGCCUUGUACACACCGCCCGUCACACCACGAGAGUUUGUAACACCCGAAGUCGGUGANGUAACCUUUUGGANACA